GGUCCAGACUUUGAUUAUGGCUCAGGAUGAACGCUAGCUACAGGCUUAACACAUGCAAGUCGAGGGGAAACGAUAUUGGAAGCUUGCUUCCGAUAGGCGUCAACCGGCGCACGGGUGAGUAACGCGUAUCCAACCUGCCCAUCACUUGGGGAUAACCUUGCGAAAGUAAGACUAAUACCCAAUGAUAUCUCAAGAAGACAUCUGAAUGAGAUUAAAGAUUUAUCGGUGAUGGAUGGGGAUGCGUCUGAUUAGCUUGUUGGCGGGGUAACGGCCCACCAAGGCGACGAUCAGUAGGGGUUCUGAGAGGAAGGUCCCCCACAUUGGAACUGAGACACGGUCCAAACUCCUACGGGAGGCAGCAGUGAGGAAUAUUGGUCAAUGGGCGAGAGCCUGAACCAGCCAAGUAGCGUGCAGGAUGACGGCCCUAUGGGUUGUAAACUGCUUUUAUAAGGGAAUAAAGUGAGCUACGUGUAGCUUUUUGCAUGUACCUUAUGAAUAAGGACCGGCUAAUUCCGUGCCAGCAGCCGCGGUAAUACGGAAGGUCCGGGCGUUAUCCGGAUUUAUUGGGUUUAAAGGGAGCGUAGGCCGGAGAUUAAGCGUGUUGUGAAAUGUAGAUGCUCAACAUCUGCACUGCAGCGCGAACUGGUUUCCUUGAGUACGCACAAAGUGGGCGGAAUUCGUGGUGUAGCGGUGAAAUGCUUAGAUAUCACGAAGAACUCCGAUUGCGAAGGCAGCUCACUGGAGCGCAACUGACGCUGAAGCUCGAAAGUGCGGGUAUCGAACAGGAUUAGAUACCCUGGUAGUCCGCACGGUAAACGAUGGAUGCCCGCUGUUGGUCUGAAUAGGUCAGCGGCCAAGCGAAAGCAUUAAGCAUCCCACCUGGGGAGUACGCCGGCAACGGUGCAACUCAAAGGAAUUGACGG
Molecule: ribosomal RNA, 923 nt
Filed under: uncultured Bacteroidota bacterium
Lineage: Bacteria; Pseudomonadati; Bacteroidota
Description: bacterial SSU rRNA
Rfam family: Bacterial small subunit ribosomal RNA
Source: RNAcentral